GAUCUGAAAUCAGGUAGGAUUACCCGCUGAACUUAAGCAUAUCAAUAAGCGGAGGAAAAGAAACUAACAAGGAUUCCCUUAGUAACGGCGAGUGAAGCGGGAAAAGCUCAAAUUUAAAAUCUUGGUAGAUUAUCUGCCACGAGCUGUAGUUUCAAGAAGCGUUUUCUGUGCGCGCCUGGGUAUAAGUCCUUUGGAACAGGGCAUCAUAGAGGGUGAGAAUCCCGUUUAUGAUCCGGAGCGGCGGACUGUGUGAUACGCUUUCUAAGAGUCAGGUUGUUUGGGAAUGCAGCCUAAAAUGGGUGGUAAAUUUCAUCUAAAGCUAAAUAUCAGCGAGAGACCGAUAGCGAACAAGUACCGUGAGGGAAAGAUGAAAAGAACUUUGAAAAGAGAGUUAAACAGUACGUGAAAUUGUUGAAAGGGAAACGU
Molecule: ribosomal RNA, 426 nt
Filed under: uncultured fungus
Lineage: Eukaryota; Fungi
Description: eukaryotic LSU rRNA
Rfam family: Eukaryotic large subunit ribosomal RNA
Source: RNAcentral